GACGAACGCUGGCGGCGUGCUUAACACAUGCAAGCCGAGCGGUAAGGCCCUUUCGGGGGUACACGAGCGGCGAACGGGUGAGUAACACGUGGGUGACCUGCCCUUAGCUCUGGGAUAAGCCUGGGAAACUGGGUCUAAUACCGGAUAUGACUCCAUAACGCAUGUUGUGGGGUGGAAAGCCUUGUGCGGCUAGGGAUGGGCCCGCGGCCUAUCAGCUUGUUGGUGGGGUGAUGGCCUACCAAGGCGACGACGGGUAGCCGGCCUGAGAGGGCGACCGGCCACACUGGGACUGAGACACGGCCCAGACUCCUACGGGAGGCAGCGGUGGGGAAUCUUGCGCAAUGGGCGAAAGCCUGACGCAGCGACGCCGCGUGGGGGAUGACGGCCU
This 388-nucleotide ribosomal RNA is filed under the name uncultured bacterium. RNAcentral's name for it is "bacterial SSU rRNA". It matches the Rfam family "Bacterial small subunit ribosomal RNA", at positions 28 to 417 of the family's 1533-position model. The record is from RNAcentral.